AAUAGAAUGAAAUUCAAAACAGUGCAGCUGUGGCCAUUGAUUGACACAUUAAGAUCAUCCAUUGACUGGGACAAUUUAGGUGAACGUUUGUAUGUAACGACCAAUGCUCACUAUGUACUUUUUAAAGACAUUUAAACUAUGGGGUCACCAAAGGUUCUCAACACCUAAAUAAAGUAAUUCGAAAAAUUAAUCAGAAAUAACACGAUAUUUUGAUUUAUAUCAAUUAUAUAAAGCAAAACACAAAGGUUAUUCCUGAUUAAUUUUUCGAAUUAUUUUAUGAUUAAAGGCGUUAAGAAACCUUUGGUGACCCCACAGUUUAAAUGUCUAUCGUAGGUACGUCGUGAACAGUGGU
Molecule: long non-coding RNA, 352 nt
Filed under: Mytilus galloprovincialis (Mediterranean mussel)
Lineage: Eukaryota; Metazoa; Mollusca; Bivalvia; Mytilida; Mytilidae
Source: RNAcentral